RNAcentral lists this unclassified non-coding RNA (1705 nucleotides) under Leishmania donovani. RNAcentral describes it as "gene:LdHU3.25.2450(CDS-product:phosphopantothenat e--cysteine_ligase_putative)". The record is from RNAcentral. Lineage: Eukaryota; Euglenozoa; Kinetoplastea; Trypanosomatida; Trypanosomatidae.
ACACCAUCGUCAUCACGCUCGUCUCUUAUCGCUGCGCACGGCUCUCUUCCACUUCCUCUGCCUCGCACAAGUGCCGCGAAGAGCAUCAUCGCCUCCGCCCCUGUCCGCCGCAACGAGAUGGUCAACAUGCAGAAAAAUGUGGAUGCCUUCUACGCCGAAAACAUGCCAUCCGAGACCCAGGCACGACUGUCGGCCUACAAGGACACUCUACUCGCAUUCCUUGAAGGCGUGGCUCGGUCUUACCCUGACUGCCCGGGCAUCGCCUUCAUCACGAGCGGCGGCACGACCGUACCUCUCGAGGUGAACGCCGUCCGCUUCAUCACGAACUUCAGCAGUGGCGGCCGCGGCGCGCACCUCGUCGAGGCGUUGGCAGAGCGUGGGUGGGCCUGCGUGUUGCUGCACCACCGCACCGCCAUUAUGCCCUUUCGACGCGUACUCGAUACGUUUAGCACUGAGCAGCUCUUUGCGGCCGUGGCAUCCCCGCCCGUACCCAGCGCUGCCGGCACGGACUCGGCAUCGACAGCGGGCGCCGAGUCCACGCCGGCAGCAGCGUCCAAGGCUGAGUUGCAUCGCGUCGCCGAACUCUACCACCGCACGAAGGGCCUUGUUCACUACGUCGCCUACGACACUGUCGUCGAGUACAUCUUUCUCCUUGAAGUCGUCUCACGCACGCUGUGUGGCACCGCUGCGCCACAGGUGCUGCAGCAGCGCCCGUGCUUGUUCUUCGCGGCGGCCGCAGUGUCAGACUACUACGUGCCGCUUCCCAAGAUGUCAAGGGAGAAGAUCAGUGGAGGGGAUGGUCUGACGCUGCAUCUGUCCAACGUGCCAAAGGUUCUACUGCUGCUGCGGGAAGAAUGGCUGCACCGCGCAGCGCCAGACGCGACGCAGCCGCUCGUCGUCACAUUCAAGCUCGAAACAUGUGAGGAGGCUAUGAAGCGCAAGGCGAUCGGCAACCUGCACGCGUACCGCUGCGACGCCGUCGUGGCGAACUUGCUGCAGAGCUACAAAGAGUGGGUGCUGGUCUACACGAAGAGCGGCGACGACAGCACGCCGGUGCUGGUGCGGCGGGGGGAGGCGAAGACGAUCGAAGCCGCCCUCUGUGAUUCACUUAUUUCCCUCUCGCGGCCGUGAGGAGGCGGUGCAUCUGCGAUGUGGGCGCGGUGCCCAUUGCCGUAGUGCCGCUCCAUUGUCAGGCGAUGCCCCUUUUCUCUCUGCCCGCCUGCCUGCAUACGCGUGCUUGUGUGUGUGUGUGUGUGUGUGUGUUCGACUUGAAUCCGUAUCUUCGCCCCCCUCCCUCCCUCCCUCCCUUUCUCCCUGUCGAGACUCCUCCUCUUGUCUCUCGCUCGUGCUUCCGCCACCGUCUUCCCCUCCGGAUCUUCACACGUUGAACCUUCUUCUCCCUGCACGGACGCGAAAUAAUUCUGUACGAAGAAAGAGGAAGUGAAGCAAGGAGCUCCGCGGCGGCGAAGCGCACGAGCAUGCGUGCAUGUGCUGGUGUGCCGGUUCUCUGACACUUUUACGCUCCUGGUCACCGCGGUGCUACAGGUGCGAGCGGAUGAGGUAAGUAGAGAAAGAAUGGUUGCGUAUCGCGUGCGGUGUGGAAGGCGGCAUGUGCACACGUGCACGUGGCGCACCAACCGAAGAGUCUGCUUCGCCCCAUAGACGGCGUGGAAGGAACGGAAAGGCGCACACGCCGGUCACCCAC